GCGAGAAUAGCUCAGUGGUAGAGCGCCUGCUUCCCAAGCAGGAGGUCGCGGGUUCGAACCCCGUUGCCCGCU
Molecule: transfer RNA, 72 nt
Filed under: Bdellovibrionales bacterium
Lineage: Bacteria; Pseudomonadati; Bdellovibrionota; Bdellovibrionia; Bdellovibrionales
Description: tRNA-Gly
Rfam family: tRNA
About the family: Transfer RNA (tRNA) molecules are approximately 80 nucleotides in length.
Source: RNAcentral